UGAUAAAUGUAUGUAUUAAAUACAGAGAUUCACAAAUUUUAAUUCAGGUACAAGUUUCUGAGUAAAAAAUUUUGUAUAUGUAAAAUUUAGUGUCAUUCCAUUAUGUCUUAAUCAAUCAUUUACCACCUCAUUGAUAAUCAUAUCACAUAUUCUCAUUUUUAUAGUGGGUCUCAUUGGAGUCGAAGUGUGGCACAAGAUUGACUGAUUUUUUUGUAAGCGUGACAUGUGAAAGUGAAUUCUUUUUGCAUGAAAAAGUGUAGCAAAGUCAGCUAGGACACAUGAAAUUACAAGCGCUAUUAUUGCAAAAAUAAAGGCCUUACAGGAUUCUGACAAAACACUUAGCGGGAUAUAAGGUCAAACCCCCCCCAAUAAGACCCCUAUUAUAUUGUAAAUGGUUGUUGUUAAAGGGCUAAGUAAAUAUAUGUAUCAUUUAAGUUGUCAUAUGUAAUUAUUAUUUAUGAUCUUGCACAUACCUCCAUUUUCAAGCAUGAUAAAUAUUUGUUGAUUAUUAAAAUAGAAUCAGUUCUUCAUAAUUAUGUUAAUAAUUAUGUUAUUUUUUAAUCCAGAAAUUUGGUCCUAUUAAGGGAAUGUCAUUGUAUAAUGAUUUUAUUGAUGUAAAGAGACAUGAUUUACAAGAAUGAUGCAACUGUGUAAAAUAUCAUACCAUGAAGGAAUAAUAAUUUCUUACUUACUCUGUUUAUACCAUCAACAAUCUUAUUUUUUAAAUGUUUUUAUUUUUAUGGAACCCGUCUUGUAGAAUUUCACAAUAAUUAUCCCAAAAGUCUCUGUAUUUACAAUACGUUAAUGGGAAUAAUUAAUUCUAUAACUGUAUUUGAAUUUAUAAUUGCCUUUUUAAAAAAAAAUCAAAAGCCUAUAAAAUUCGGGCAAAAUUUACAGUCUUUUAAGAUAAGAAAUGGUACUAUCAUUUCACAAAAUACAUGAAUAACUUUUUAACUGUUGAAGACUGUUGAUGUCUACUUUUCUUUUUGUCUCUUUGUUGAAAAAUUUCACAACUCAUUCUAUUUAUAUAAAACAUACCCAACAUAUAUCAAACAAACAUAACAUACUGUAAUUCAUGUAGAAUCAUUACAGCUUAUGAUAUUGUUGAGGUUAAAGUGUACUGGAUAAAACUGCAUACCGUUGACUUUAUUAUUAUAUAUAUUGAAAUGCUAAAAUGUAUUACCAUUAUUAGUAAAAUCUGAAAAUUUUACAAUCAUCAUGAACUGACCUAAUUUAAGUUACAAUCAUCAUCAACUUUGACCUAAUUUAAGUUACAAUCAUCAUCAACUUUGACCUAAUUUAAGUUACAAUCAUCAUCAACUUUGACCUAAUUUAAGUUACAAUCAUCAUCAACUUUGACCUAAUUUAAGUUACAAUCAUCAUCAACUUUGACCUAAUUUAAGUUACAAUCAUCAUCAACUUUGACCUAAUUUAAGUUGUGCAUUACUAUGACGACC
This 1457-nucleotide long non-coding RNA is filed under the name Mytilus galloprovincialis (Mediterranean mussel). The record is from RNAcentral. Lineage: Eukaryota; Metazoa; Mollusca; Bivalvia; Mytilida; Mytilidae.